AGUCAUAUGCUUGUCUCAAAGAUUAAGCCAUGCAUGUCUAAGUACAGGCCUAAGCAAGGCGAAACCGCGAAUGGCUCAUUAAAUCAGUUAUGGUUCAUUGGAUCUUACCCUUUCUUACUUGGAUAACUGUGGUAAUUCUAGAGCUAAUACAUGCCAACCAGUAGCUCCGACACACUCCCGUGUGGAAGAGCGCUUUUAUUAGAUCAAAACCAGUCCUCCCCCGGGAGGUCAAACCCCUUCGUGGUGACUCUGAAUAACUUUUAGCUGAGCGCACGGGCUCCGCCCCGGCGCCGCAUCUUUCAAGUGUCUGCCUUAUCAGCUUUCGAUUGUAGGUUAUGCGCCUACAAUGGCUAUAACGGGUAACGGGGAAUCAGGGUUCGAUUCCGGAGAGGGAGCCUGAGAAACGGCUACCACAUCUAAGGAAGGCAGCAGGCACGCAAAUUACCCACUCCCGGCUCGGGGAGGUAGUGACGAAAAAUAACGAUGCGGGACUCAUCCGAGGCCUCGCAAUCGGAAUGAGUACACUUUAAAUCCUUUAACGAGGAUCUAUUGGAGGGCAAGU
Molecule: ribosomal RNA, 562 nt
Filed under: Thysanoessa gregaria
Lineage: Eukaryota; Metazoa; Arthropoda; Malacostraca; Euphausiacea; Euphausiidae
Description: SSU rRNA
Rfam family: Eukaryotic small subunit ribosomal RNA
Source: RNAcentral